AGUGAACGCUGGCGGUAGGCCUAACACAUGCAAGUCGAACGGCAGCACAGUAAGAGCUUGCUCUUACGGGUGGCGAGUGGCGGACGGGUGAGGAAUACAUCGGAAUCUACUUUUUCGUGGGGGAUAACGUAGGGAAACUUACGCUAAUACCGCAUACGACCUACGGGUGAAAGCAGGGGAUCUUCGGACCUUGCGCGGUUGAAUGAGCCGAUGUCGGAUUAGCUAGUUGGCGGGGUAAAGGCCCACCAAGGCGACGAUCGGUAGCUGGUCUGAGAGGAUGAUCGGCCACACUGGAGCUGAGACACGGUCCUGACUCCGACGGGAGGCAGCAGCGGGGAAUAUUGGACGAUGGGCGCAAGCCUGAUCCAGCCAUACCGCGUGGGUGAAGAAGGCCUUCGGGUGGUAAAGCCCUUUUGUUGGUAAAGAAAAGCAGCAGGUUAAUACCCCGCUGUUCUGACGGUACCCAAAGAAUAAGCACCGGCUAACUUCGUG
RNAcentral lists this ribosomal RNA (492 nucleotides) under uncultured bacterium. RNAcentral describes it as "partial 16S ribosomal RNA". It matches the Rfam family "Bacterial small subunit ribosomal RNA", at positions 29 to 507 of the family's 1533-position model. The record is from RNAcentral.